CACUCCUUGAGAUAGGACCCAUGUGUGCUCGAUAAAAAUUGGAACCAUGCGGAGAAGAUUAGCAUGGCCCCUGCACAAAGAUAGGACCCGUACCUGACAGACACUAGAUAGGUCA
Small nuclear RNA from Rattus norvegicus (Norway rat), 115 nucleotides. The record is from Ensembl. Lineage: Eukaryota; Metazoa; Chordata; Mammalia; Rodentia; Muridae.